Molecule: ribosomal RNA, 460 nt
Filed under: uncultured bacterium
Lineage: Bacteria
Description: bacterial SSU rRNA
Rfam family: Bacterial small subunit ribosomal RNA
Source: RNAcentral
UGCAGUCGAGCGGUAGAGAGAAGCUUGCUUCUCUUGAGAGCGGCGGACGGGUGAGUAAUGCCUAGGAAUCUGCCUGGUAGUGGGGGAUAACGUUCGGAAACGGACGCUAAUACCGCAUACGUCCUACGGGAGAAAGCAGGGGACCUUCGGGCCUUGCGCUAUCAGAUGAGCCUAGGUCGGAUUAGCUAGUUGGUGAGGUAAUGGCUCACCAAGGCGACGAUCCGUAACUGGUCUGAGAGGAUGAUCAGUCACACUGGAACUGAGACACGGUCCAGACUCCUACGGGAGGCAGCAGUGGGGAAUAUUGGACAAUGGGCGAAAGCCUGAUCCAGCCAUGCCGCGUGUGUGAAGAAGGUCUUCGGAUUGUAAAGCACUUUAAGUUGGGAGGAAGGGCUGUAACCUAAUACUCUGGUGUUUUGACGUUACCGACAGAAUAAGCACCGGCUAACUCUGUGCCAGA